This 627-nucleotide ribosomal RNA is filed under the name uncultured beta proteobacterium. Its description in RNAcentral is "bacterial SSU rRNA". It matches the Rfam family "Bacterial small subunit ribosomal RNA", at positions 99 to 723 of the family's 1533-position model. The record is from RNAcentral. Lineage: Bacteria; Pseudomonadati; Pseudomonadota; Betaproteobacteria.
CGAACGGGUGAGUAAUAUAUCGGAACAUACCCAGUAGUGGGGGAUAACUAUCCGAAAGGAUAGCUAAUACCGCAUACGAUCUGUGGAUGAAAGCAGGGGAUCUUCGGACCUUGUGCUAUUGGAAUGGCCGAUAUCUGAUUAGCUAGUUGGUAGGGUAAAAGCCUACCAAGGCGACGAUCAGUAGCUGGUCUGAGAGGACGACCAGCCACACUGGAACUGAGACACGGUCCAGACUCCUACGGGAGGCAGCAGUGGGGAAUUUUGGACAAUGGGGGCAACCCUGAUCCAGCAAUGCCGCGUGAGUGAAGAAGGCCCUCGGGUUGUAAAGCUCUUUUGUCAGGGAAGAAACGGAGUUCUCUAAUAUAGGAUUCUAAUGACGGUACCUGAAGAAUAAGCACCGGCUAACUACGUGCCAGCAGCCGCGGUAAUACGUAGGGUGCAAGCGUUAAUCGGAAUUACUGGGCGUAAAGCGUGCGCAGGCGGUUUUGUAAGUCUGAUGUGAAUCCCCGGGCUCAACCUGGGAACUGCAUUGGAGACUGCAAGGCUAGAGUGUGUCAGAGGGGGGUAGAAUUCCACGUGUAGCAGUGAAAUGCGUAGAGAUGUGGAGGAAUACCGAUGGCGAAGGCA